RNAcentral lists this ribosomal RNA (497 nucleotides) under uncultured bacterium. Its description in RNAcentral is "partial 16S ribosomal RNA". It matches the Rfam family "Bacterial small subunit ribosomal RNA", at positions 28 to 507 of the family's 1533-position model. The record is from RNAcentral.
GAUGAACGCUGGCGGCGUGCCUAAUACAUGCAAGUCGAGCGAACGGACGAGAAGCUUGCUUCUCUGAUGUUAGCGGCGGACGGGUGAGUAACACGUGGAUAACCUACCUAUAAGACUGGGAUAACUUCGGGAAACCGGAGCUAAUACCGGAUAAUAUUUUGAACCGCAUGGUUCAAAAGUGAAAGACGGUCUUGCUGUCACUUAUAGAUGGAUCCGCGCUGCAUUAGCUAGUUGGUAAGGUAACGGCUUACCAAGGCAACGAUGCAUAGCCGACAUGAGAGGGUGAUCGGCCACACUGGAACUGAGACACGGUCCAGACUCCUACGGGAGGCAGCAGUAGGGAAUCUUCCGCAAUGGGCGAAAGCCUGACGGAGCAACGCCGCGUGAGUGAUGAAGGUCUUCGGAUCGUAAAACUCUGUUAUUAGGGAAGAACAAAUGUGUAAGUAACUGUGCACAUCUUGACGGUACCUAAUCAGAAAGCCACGGCUAACUACGUG